UCUCCGUAGGUGAACCUGCGGAGGGAUCAUUACACAAUAAAAUACGAAGGCCGUUCGCGGCUGGACUAUUUAUUACCCUUGUCUUUUGCGCACUUGUUGUUUCCUGGGCGGGUUCGCUCGCCACCAGGACCACAAUAUAAACCUUUUUUAUGCAGUUGCAAUCAGCGUCAGUAUAACAAAUGUAAAUCAUUUACAACUUUCAACAACGGAUCUCUUGGUUCUG
This 223-nucleotide unclassified non-coding RNA is filed under the name root metagenome. RNAcentral describes it as "partial contains small subunit ribosomal RNA, internal transcribed spacer 1, and 5.8S ribosomal RNA". The record is from RNAcentral.